RNAcentral lists this long non-coding RNA (3279 nucleotides) under Solanum lycopersicum (tomato). Its description in RNAcentral is "partial TCONS_00043234". Lineage: Eukaryota; Viridiplantae; Streptophyta; Magnoliopsida; Solanales; Solanaceae. The record is from RNAcentral.
AGUUUAAAUCCACCACACACAAGAAAACUUUAUCUUAAAAAUGGUCCUUACCUAAUACCGACUUUACUAGUGAUGAGGAAAAUCAAGUUUCGAUUUUGCGUAAUCUGAUUUGUUUUCCGUUUGUGUGAAUCUGCUUAAAGAAAAUGAAAUUCCUAAUUGAUUGGUCAAAAAAAAAUAAAUGACUAUUAAAUUUCCCACCUUGAGCUGGGUACAGUUUUUAUCAAACAAUUAGCGAGUUCUUUUUGGUCAUUUAAUUUCAGAUAUGAAGAGUAGAUCAAAUUCUGAGUUUUUUGAAGGUUGAUUUAGCGAUUCAUAUGGAAUUUUCCUUACAGCGUCAAAUUUAAGGAAAGAACUGAAGGUAAAGUGAAAAAUGUUAAAGUGGCUCAAUAACAUGCUUGAUACCAAUCAACAAAUUCUCUUAGAACAGGAUUAGUUUAUCGGUAUCAUAGACUUCAAAGGCCCAGUCAUUCCAGUAUUUGAGAAAUUGAAGUUUGUCCAGGUUGGUUUCUUCCUAGUUAGUCCAGUUACCUAUGUUAUUAUGUGGGUCAGCAUUGUGUCUUUGUCUCAGAUGUUGGAGUAGAAGGUUGAGAAAUGGAAACAUGACUACGAGUAUUUUUAACAAGUUUUUAAGCCUAAUAUGCCUAGUAUUGGUUUUAUUCUUAUAGUAGUAAACGCCCUUCCUGAUGUAUUCAUUCUUCAGCUUAGAAGCUAUAGUCUCAUAAAAUUUCACUAAGCUAUUUUCUGCUUCUGUUCCUAAGAGAAAACAUUAUGAUUGACAUAUUCAACUAUGACCUUUGCUGGCGUUAGAUACUUGUGAAAAGAUAGGUUGUGGAUCUAUUCUACCUCUAGACAUCUUGAACAAAUCCUUUUACCAUUUUUUACCUUCAGGCAGGUCUAACCUUCUUGUCAUAUUUACAUGGUUCUCUUCAUCAACAGUAUAUGUAUUGACUCCGCAUACCAACAACUGUAGUCGGUCUGUGUCUAACUCUCAUAGACAGUGAUUAUUUUUCCCAUUAGCAUCAUUUACUUUCAUUGAAUGUGUUGCACGAAGUUUAAACAGCUUUCUGAAAAAACUGUUUACUGAAAAGUAUUGCCUGGUAUGUAUAACAAGAAGGCAUAAUCAGACAAGCACGCCCAUAAGUCACGUUGUAUGUCAACUAAAUUAAGUUGCCACUUAUUGACAAAUAGAUAUUUCAGAAGAAAUUUCUGGUUUUAAUUUGUAAAUCUGCCCUCAAUAUUAACUGCAAUAAUUGUGCAACCUUAUUUGCAUUAAACAGUAAGGACAUACAGGGUUUUCCCACAAUGCCCUAUGUUUUCUACAUUCCAGUCGCGAGAAGUAUUCAUGCCCUUUGAUAACUUUCUUGUAUAUAAGUAUUAUAACUCCUAAACUUUUGGUAGGGGACAUGUUUGAUAGUUGGCCACUUUCCCUCCUAUCCUUCAGCCAUCAAGAUUUUGAUACGUCUCUUUAUUUCUGAUCAAAGGAAUGUCAUUUUGUUUUCCUGAAAAUCCUAGAUAUUUGUAGCACGAUAUUGAAAAAUCUUCUUCCUAUUACUCAAACAAGCAUGAAAACUAUGUAAUUUUGGGCUUUUCAGUGGAUGAACAUCUUGCUUGAUGUGAUUUGUGAGACCAAUACUAAAUGAGUUUGUAAUCAUAGUGCCUAUAGUCUUUUGGAUUUGAGAACAGGAGCAGUUCAUGGAGCUUAAAGAUGUGUGUUGACUGCAUUGAUUAGUGGAAAUGCUUUUCUGGUUUUUUAUCUGCAGGGCUUUGCUAGUAAUGUUAUCCAUUUUGACUCUUACUCAUUGCAUCACUCAGAAAUAAACAGCUGUAAACUUGCAACUCCUCAUAAAAUACACUCACCAAAAUAGGUACUUGAUGCAUUGAGUCUCUACAAACUUGCUUGUAAGAUCCCUUAUGUUGGGAUGGCAGACAUUGAACUGGCUCCUAAUUCUUCAAUAACAGAAUAACAUUUGUACUUAGGACUGAAAGAUUGAGCAGAUUUACGGUUUACCAUCUCCACCUUCCUUUGGAGCACUAUUAGAGAACUCAUUUAGAAUCGUUUGGUUGGGAACAAGUUAUCCCAAGAUGGAAGCUAUCCUGGGACAACUUAACCAUGUAUAUGAGAUAACUUAUCCCAUCACUAUGGUAUAAAUGGUGGGUUAAGUUAUCUCAAACAUAACAACGAAACACCAAAGUUUGAUCCCUGGACUAUUUUUUUACCCUAGGACUAUUAAUUCUUAUCCCUCACAUCAAACGACCUAGUGUAUCGCUCUCUCCACAAAAAGGGAAGCAAUCAAGAUAACCACCUUAAGGUUCCAUCCAUUACUUGUAUUAUUUUCUCAAGGUCAUAAUUUCGAACUUCUGAAGCUAUGUCGUUGUAUGUCAUCCAACGUGUUUCUAUUAAACCACUUAUGUUACUCCUCCUUGGUUAUCUCAGACUAAUUCGGAAACCUGGAAACUGAAGUCCCGUUGUUACCAUGACAAGUUGGGUCCAACAAGGAGGUUUUCAAAUUGAACUGCAUUAAAAGUGAAAGGUAUGGAUUCUUCGUGCAAACAAUACAGGUUAAGUCAACGGUACAAUUAGCAUUCAUAAGAAAAGGCAUAUGCUCAAUAGAGUGCUCAACAGAAGGGGGCAUGUCAUUAAGCAGCAACAGUGACCCAAACAAAACUUUGAUCCAGGUUUUUAACCUUUGAAAUGAGUCUUGAAAACUACCGUAUCCCAUUAGCACUUCUCUUUUUCUCACAAGUUAAACAACUCAGGUGAAGUGAACUAUGGAAUAUGGAGCAAGUACUGCCACCAGGCAUUUGGCAUCAAAAAGAGCAAAAUUCUGAGAAAAGAAGUCUCGUAGCAGCCUCUCAAGUUGGAAGAGCUAGUUUCUCUUUUCCAUGUUGUAGGAGGUUCCACUAAAGUUCAGGUAUAUGUUAUCUUUUGCCCUUGCAGAGGCAGUUAUUGAAUCUUCUUUGCUGAUGUUUUACUAGUGUGGCUUAAUGAUUUUUGAGUUCUAAUUUGUCAUUUGAGGCUAUGGACCAUUGAACCACCAUACAAUCUAAUAUUGUCAGUUGAUUUGCAUGAAGUAAAGAGCAUUUUGCCUUAUCUUUAUUUUAUUUUUUCAAAACUGGUGAUUCAGUAAAUCUGAAUUUGGUUGAGUUGCAUUACUUUAAUCAAUAUUUUGGCAGUUACAAAUUUGUGCUGAUUGUCUUUUCAUAUUGACCCAAAAUAAGGUAGAAGUGGUGUUCACUUCAGCAGAGCUAGGGAAUAGUAACAAUGUAAAAGCAAUAGAG